Homo sapiens (human) is the source of this 9247-nucleotide long non-coding RNA. RefSeq annotates it as NDST2-ZSWIM8-AS1 readthrough. The record is from RefSeq and is marked validated. The transcript has 15 exons. NCBI's taxonomy places the organism in Eukaryota, Metazoa, Chordata, Mammalia, Primates, Hominidae.
AGUGCCAUCGCGCGGAGAGGAGGGGGUGCGCUUCCGCGGGCGGGGCGCGGAGCCCGCCGUCUCGGAGGCCGCGGCUCGGCCCGGCACUGCGGAGGGCCGCUUGAUUUCCCGGAACCCAGGUCGCGCGGCUGCUAGGGCCGGAGCCGGUGGAUCCGAGCGGGUGCCACCAGCGGCGGCGCGCCGCCUCCCCCGGUGGGAGCGGUGGUUGGGCCAGGCUGCGGCAGAGCGUUCGCUCGGAGAUGGCGGAGCAGCCGCGACGCGGCCCGUGGCCCCGAAAGCAGGGAAGCCGGGCAGCCCCGGGACGCGGCGGAGCCCGGGGACAGCGGGGACGCCGCCCAGUCCUCCGGGUAUGAAGCUAAAAUGCAGCGGCUAAGAACGCGGCUCUGGAGCUUGACAGGCCUGACGUCGAAUCCCAGCCCUCCCACCAACUGAGCUGUGUGAUCCUGGGCAAGGUAGAGGGGAAGAGAUUGAACUUUGCUGACCUUUGAUGUGAGGCGCUCAGCCAGGGCCAAGGGGAGAGCCUGGCAAGAUUUGCAGCCUGAAGCCAUGGGCCAGGGGGCCAUGGUGACCUGAGACAAGUGGACUCUGUAUAGUUGCCCCCUGCUUCCCCUUCUACCUCCCCUACCCUAUGCUAAGGGGACUCGUCUCCACCUCGUAAAGGAAACUCCCCAAGGGAAUCCCUGUCCCCUAUUUUCCUAUCCUUCUACCCUUCCAAGACAGUCCUAGCCUAUAGAACUCCUACCUCCCAUCCCCUGAGGUGGUCCCCAUUCCUCCCUCCCUUCCUCCCCCCGCCAUGCUCCAGUUGUGGAAGGUGGUACGCCCAGCUCGGCAGCUGGAACUGCACCGCCUCAUACUGCUGCUGAUCGCUUUCAGCCUGGGCUCCAUGGGCUUCCUGGCUUAUUAUGUGUCCACCAGCCCUAAGGCCAAGGAACCCUUGCCCCUGCCCUUGGGAGACUGCAGCAGCGGUGGGGCAGCUGGUCCUGGCCCUGCACGGCCUCCAGUUCCACCUCGGCCCCCCAGGCCUCCAGAGACAGCUCGAACUGAACCCGUGGUCCUUGUGUUUGUGGAGAGUGCAUACUCACAGCUGGGGCAGGAAAUUGUGGCCAUCCUGGAGUCUAGUCGUUUUCGUUAUAGCACUGAGUUGGCACCUGGCCGAGGGGACAUGCCCACAUUGACUGAUAAUACCCAUGGCCGCUAUGUCUUGGUCAUUUAUGAGAACCUGCUCAAGUAUGUCAACCUGGAUGCCUGGAGUCGGGAACUGCUAGACCGGUACUGCGUGGAGUAUGGUGUGGGCAUCAUUGGCUUUUUCCGAGCCCACGAGCACAGCCUACUGAGCGCCCAGCUCAAGGGCUUUCCCCUUUUUUUACACUCAAACUUGGGGCUCCGGGACUACCAAGUGAAUCCUUCUGCCCCGCUACUGCAUCUCACACGCCCCAGCCGCCUAGAACCAGGGCCACUGCCUGGUGAUGACUGGACCAUCUUCCAAUCCAAUCAUAGUACAUAUGAACCAGUGCUUCUUGCCAGCCUUCGGCCAGCUGAGCCCGCAGUGCCAGGACCAGUUCUUCGUCGGGCCCGGCUUCCCACUGUGGUACAGGACCUGGGGCUUCAUGAUGGCAUCCAGCGGGUGCUCUUUGGACAUGGCCUUUCCUUCUGGCUCCACAAACUUAUCUUCGUUGAUGCUGUUGCAUACCUCACUGGCAAGCGCCUCUGCCUGGACCUUGACCGCUACAUCUUGGUAGACAUCGAUGACAUCUUUGUGGGCAAGGAAGGGACCCGCAUGAAGGUGGCUGAUGUUGAGGCUCUGUUGACCACCCAGAACAAACUCAGGACCUUAGUUCCCAACUUCACCUUCAACUUGGGCUUCUCGGGCAAGUUCUAUCAUACUGGGACAGAGGAGGAGGAUGCAGGGGACGACAUGCUGCUGAAGCACCGCAAAGAGUUCUGGUGGUUCCCCCACAUGUGGAGCCACAUGCAGCCACACCUGUUCCACAAUCGCUCCGUGCUGGCUGACCAGAUGAGGCUCAACAAACAGUUUGCUCUGGAGCAUGGGAUUCCCACGGACCUGGGGUAUGCUGUGGCCCCCCACCACUCGGGUGUGUACCCCAUCCACACGCAGCUCUAUGAGGCCUGGAAAUCCGUGUGGGGCAUCCAGGUGACCAGCACUGAGGAGUAUCCCCAUCUCCGCCCUGCCCGCUACCGCCGUGGCUUCAUUCACAAUGGCAUUAUGGUGCUGCCCCGGCAGACAUGUGGCCUCUUCACUCACACAAUCUUCUAUAAUGAGUAUCCUGGAGGCUCUCGUGAACUAGACCGGAGCAUCCGAGGUGGAGAGCUCUUUCUGACAGUGCUGCUUAAUCCGAUCAGCAUCUUUAUGACCCAUCUGUCCAAUUAUGGAAAUGACCGGCUGGGCCUAUACACCUUUGAGAGCUUGGUGCGCUUCCUCCAGUGUUGGACACGGCUGCGCCUACAGACCCUUCCUCCUGUCCCACUUGCACAGAAGUACUUUGAACUUUUCCCUCAGGAGCGAAGCCCCCUUUGGCAGAAUCCCUGUGAUGACAAGAGGCACAAAGAUAUCUGGUCCAAGGAGAAAACCUGUGAUCGUCUCCCGAAGUUCCUCAUUGUGGGACCCCAGAAAACAGGGACUACAGCUAUUCACUUCUUCCUGAGCCUGCACCCAGCUGUAACUAGCAGCUUCCCUAGCCCCAGCACAUUUGAGGAGAUUCAGUUCUUCAACAGCCCUAAUUACCACAAGGGUAUUGACUGGUACAUGGAUUUCUUCCCUGUUCCUUCCAAUGCCAGCACUGAUUUCCUAUUUGAAAAAAGUGCCACCUACUUUGACUCUGAAGUUGUACCACGGCGGGGGGCUGCCCUCCUGCCACGAGCCAAGAUCAUCACAGUGCUCACCAACCCUGCUGACAGGGCCUACUCCUGGUACCAGCAUCAGCGAGCCCAUGGAGACCCAGUUGCUCUGAACUAUACCUUCUAUCAGGUGAUUUCAGCCUCCUCCCAGACCCCUCUGGCACUACGCUCCCUGCAGAACCGCUGUCUUGUCCCUGGCUACUAUUCUACCCAUCUACAACGCUGGCUGACUUACUACCCCUCUGGACAGUUGCUGAUUGUGGAUGGGCAAGAGCUGCGUACCAACCCAGCAGCCUCAAUGGAGAGCAUCCAGAAGUUCCUGGGUAUCACACCCUUUCUGAACUACACACGGACCCUCAGGUUUGAUGAUGAUAAGGGAUUUUGGUGCCAGGGACUUGAAGGUGGUAAGACUCGCUGUCUAGGCCGGAGCAAAGGCCGGAGGUAUCCAGAUAUGGACACUGAGGUAAGUAAAGCCAGGGGCAGGGGAAUCCCUCUCCACUUCCAGGAUCUGAUUCUGUGUCCCACUUCUUACCAUUUCUGCCUUCAUUUUCUCCUGUCAGUCCCGUCUUUUCCUUACGGAUUUUUUCCGGAACCAUAAUUUGGAGUUGUCGAAGCUGCUGAGCCGGCUUGGACAGCCAGUGCCCUCGUGGCUUCGGGAAGAACUGCAGCAUUCCAGUCUGGGCUGAUGUCCCAGCCUCCCAUACCAGCAAAAUGCCCCCUGCUUCCCUAAGGGGCAGGUCCAGAGCAGGGCCCACAAGGGGGAUUAGAGUGGCCUGGCCCCUCCCCCUCUACCUCAGUAGCCCCCAGGCCUGAGAUGGCUGAGAAGGGAAGGGUAUCCUUUUCCCACAGUUCUGGGACAAAUAAAGGGGCUUCCUUUGGUACCCCACAUAAUAGUGCUAGGUACCUUUGACCCAUCAUCUUGGGAGGUGGGGAGGAAUGAGAGGGUCCAGGCAGGGUGUAGGGGAAUGUAUUAGUCCAAUGAGAUUUCCCUCUUCAUCCGCAGCAGUGUAUCUAUUCUAUACCUGGCUAUGGGAGAGACCCCUUGCAUGGGAGGGACCCCUUGCUAUGGCCCCUUUAGCCAGGCAGUGGGAUCUACCUGUGGCCCGGCCUCCCUAAUGUCAUUCACAUUGAAUGGGGAUGAGGUCGGACAGUGGCUCAUAGAGCCGAGUAUGAGCCCUAGCUGUGGGCUAGAAAUGUCCUUAAUAAACAUCCUUAUUUUUCUGUUUUGUCUGCCUCCCUGGAGUGGGAAAAACCUAGACUAAAGCAAGUGUCAGAAGUUUCCUCCCCAGUUGAAGGUUCAUCUGCACAUGGAAUUUGGAAAGAAGGGAAAGGCCCAGGUCGACUAGAGUAAAAAAGGAGUUUAUAUAUUUAUAAAUGCCAAAUAAAUACCAGAGGCCACCCAACGCCCCCUCCCAGACAGGGCUGUCUCCCCCAGCCCUAGGCUUCUAGGGUGUGAGACAUCUUGGCCCCAAGCUAUAGCCCAAGAGCAGCUGUCAGUCUGUGCUACCAGGGAACUGAGUGAGGAUGAUCUGUCCAGCCAAGUUUCACUCCCCCUGUGUGAGGGGCCCCCAUAGCCACAGGCCUGGGUCCCUGUAUAGGACCCUAAGGGUGAAAGACUCAGGGGGAGAAGGUGGCCAUCUCGAGUGAGACCCGCUGCCACAGCUCCUUGGUCUGUUUGCUGCGCUUGAGGUUCUGUAGGAUGUCGUUGAACUGCAUCAUGCCCAUGGGCGUCAGGCAGAAGGCGCUGCGGGCACUCCGGAUCGCAUUCACAAAGUCGUCGUAGUCCGCAGGAGUCAGGUGAAUCAAGCGGUGGUGGAUGUACUGGAGGAGGAUGUGUGCAGGAUGAGCCUUAGUACAAAGCACAGAAACAGGCCCUGCCUCCCUCUGGUCCAAGACCACCCAGGAAGUGCUCCACCCUGCUCCAUAAUUCUAGGUUGUCACCUGCAUGUAUGCCUGCUGGCAGCGCUGCACCAGUUGGUGGAAGGCCGGGGCACGCAGGUGGUUGUGGGCAUGAGCGGGACUCAGCCGCUGCAGCGUCUCCAUGACGAUCUCCUGCAGCACAAACGGGCUCAGCACCCCCUUGGCUGCCCCCACACAGAACUGGUGCACGUAGUUCACUCCUGGGGGGCAGGGGGAGGGGCAUGAGACGGGGGUGGCCACCUCUGCCCUAGGGACCCAACUUACAGAUCUCAGCUCUGGCCUGGCAGAGAGCCUCCCUCCACCCCAGGAGCUGAGGUAACCCUCCGCCCCCCGCGCACGCACACAUACCCGACCAAGGCCUCAACUCUGAGCAAGAGCUAGGAAGGAGGUCUGGGAUAAGGAAGGUGGGGAGAGCAGGUGGGGGGGGGGCAAUGGUCCUAGGGAGGGGAGGUGUUACCCAGCUUUGCUGCCAGCCCCAGCAACCAUUUGACAUCAUCAGUGUAGGGGGGGGAGCGGGAGAAGUUGUUGGGGUGAUCGUUGUGUGCCCGGCGACCCAGCAUCUCCAGUGCCAGCAUUCCUGGGAGAUAGAUAAGGGUGGGCACAUGGUACGGUGUAUCCUCUUCACCCUUUACCCCAACCUGUCACCUGACCCCACAGUAAACAAAUGAAGAGCUAGAGGAAGGGUCCUCUGAAGAGCCACUGGCACAACUGCAGGUAGGAGCACAGAAAGGGAUGUCCUCUCACCGACACGGUAGGCAGCAUGCAGGUGGUGCAGGCUGUGGGGAUUGACUGGCUGACUGUGUGUCUCCUCCUCGGGCGGUGGAAAACCUCCGCUCACCAGAGGGCUGGGCUGUGUGGUCAGGGCAGGCAGUGAGGCACCUUGGAUGGCUGGAAACGUGGAUGCUGGAUGGACACUGCUCACUAAGUGGGGUGAGAGCCAUGUGAGGAACUCAGAGCCCAAAGAGAGACAAAGAACAUUCCCUCCCCACCUCCCCUGCCCAGUGUGCCUCCCCUCCAUUCACCUGUUCCCUGGCCCCACAACUCACAGGCCACACUGGUGGGCAGUGGAAGCCCUGGCUCUGUGUGGUAGGGAUGUACUGUGAUGGGUGCCAUGGAAGGAACGGGGAAAGACACAGCAGUGGCAGCAAGUGAGGGAGGAGUCACUGAAUAAGGGUACUGAGCCCCUAGGAAUGCAGGAUGCACACCCUAGGGGCAGGGAGAAGAAAGGGGAAGAUGCCAAACUUGAUUAGGAUGUUGCUGUCGUGCUUCACCCCCACAAGCUGCUAUCCUGACAUGUUUUUUUUGAGAUAGAGUCUCGCUCUGUCCUCCAGGCUGGAGUGCAGUGGCACGAUAUCGGCUCACUGCAACCUCUGCCUCCCAGGUUCAAGUGAUUCCCAUCUCAGCCUCCCAAGAAGCUGGGAUUACAGGCGUGCACUCAGCUAAUUUUUAGUAGAGACGGGGUUUCCCCAUGUUGGCCAGGCUGGUCUCGAACUCCUGACCUCAAGUGAUCCACCCACAUCGGCCUCUCAAAGUGCUGGGAUUACAGGCAUGAGCCACCAUGCCCGGCCGUCAUUUCUUAUUUUAGUUGGGCUGGGUCCCCCAGACUCCCACCACCUCACCAGGACUCUCCGACUGACCAAUUAUACUCCCAGAGUACCCACUCCAACCCCCUAUGAAUUCCCAGUAUUUUCCCAUGCCUUACCCCCCAGCAGAACACUGGUCUCACCUGUGGGUAUGCAGAGCUGGGCACAGGGAAGACGGCAGGCCGGGGCAUGUGAGGCAUGGGGUGGGCAGGGUGAGCUGGGUGAGUGAGAUACUGAGGGCUACAGGGCAGGUGGGGCUGUAGAGCAGUGUAGGGGUGCAGGCCAGGGGAGUGGCCAUGCCCCAGUCCUGGACCCGGGUAUAAACUAGACCCCACCGAUAUGACGGGCACCACUGUGGCUGCUGCUGUCACUGCUGCCGCUGCCACUGUAACCGGCUCAGUCCCUGGGCCCCCUCUACCCUCAGGCAUACCCCGCCCAGCUUCCCCACCUGCCCUGAUCCCACUGGCACUACAGCUUGUAGCCCCUUCACGGGCUGUGGAUGAGCCACCUGCAGUUUGCUCAUACAGCCAGAACCACUGGUGAGCAACCUCAAACAACACUUCAGGGUACACGCCCCCACCCUUAGCUGCCUCUUCCACUGCCAUGCAGGCCUUCUCCAACAUCAGGUUGUCCUGGAAGAGAGGGGCACAGAGUGUUAAGGGGGAAAGGCCUUUACCACAUGGAAGGUGUUAGAUGAGAUUCCAAUGUCUCCCUCAGAGCUGUCUCAUUCCCAGGGAAUCAUCAGAGGUCAGUGUCAAUGCUUAGAGUCCAUUAUCAGAGCAGUGAGUGCUUCACACACUGAGUAAAUACUGACCAAAAUGAGUCAAGACCCAGGUUAUAGUCCCAGUUCCAAACUAAUUUAACAGCCCCCUCCCAUUCAAGUCUUAGAUGUAUGAGGCCUUCCCUAAGUUUUCUAUCCUGAGUGAUCAUCUUGGUCCCUAAACCGUAGGCCUCCAUUUCCUUAUCUGUAAAAUAGAAAUAAACCUAACCUUUGAGUUGUAAGGUAAAGGAAAGAUGGGUGUGAAAGCACAUUAAUGGGUAAAAUGUUGCCAUGAGAGGACCAACAAUCAUCUGUAAACUCCAGGAUACGGGAAUCAAGAGCUGGGCCCUUAGCUUUCCCAUGCCCAACCUCCCUGCCCAGAUGCCCCAGAAGAGGUUCCCAGAUUGCCCGUAGAAAUACCUGUUCCUUGCACUGCACCAGGGCCCGCUGGAUCUCAUUAGGGUUCAAUGCAUGGGCGUGAGGCAGGCAGCUCAGGGCCAGCUCUGCUGCCGCCCUCACCAUAUUGGAGUCUCUUGCCCGUGAUGCCCUGUCAGCCAGGGAUGCAACCUCAGGGGGUGUCAGGUGCCCAUCCCAGCAUUCUACCAGUAUAGUCAGGGCUGCGCUGCCUAUCUCCAUGGCCUGGCCUUAGGGGAAAGGAGAGAAGGGCAGAGUUGGGUUAGUGUGGGCACCACUGGGGUGUGAGAAUAAUGUCUUUUUAUCAGAUCAGUAACCCCACAAAGAUAAGGGUCUUAUCCCCACCAAUUAAUCCCCCUCCCAUACCCAAGUCAGGUCAAAUGAUUUACCUGUAAUCCAGGAAACGUGGGAAGAAUAAGUACGUGAGAGCCAGUUGGGAGAAACAAAGUUGUGCAGGCCAAGGGCAUAAAGCCCAAUCUCGAAGGCGCAAAGGUGCAGGUUGCGGUGAGGACCCUGGUGGCCCCCUGAGGAAGAUGGAUGUGUGAAAAUGGAAGUGCUGCUGUUGCCCCCUGCCUUGAUCAGCACUGUCUUCGCCAGCUCGAAGUAGAAGUGUGCAGCUGCCUCUGAUGGCUGAUUGGUCUUCGCCCGGGCUCCUCCACUGGCACUGGCCCGGCGACUUCCACUGGAGGAUGAGGAGCCCAGGGAGUCCGAAGAAGAGCUGCUAAUGCUGUCACUGUCCUGACCUCGACCCCAGGAGGUGGGGGCCCAGCCCCCUCGAAGUGGUCUCCGGCUUAAGGUGGGGGAACUAUCCGAUGUUGUUUCAGGGGCACUGCUGUCAAUGCUGGCCAUGCCUAACCCCCAAGAGAAGUCAGUCUCAGAAGUCAGGAGUCCCAGAUGUUAAGACUCCAACCUUCAGGAUUAUCCUUCCCUCUAUGCUAGCCCACAGGCUAUCCUACCUGUGUGCUUCUUCUUAGGCCGUCCUGGGGACCCCCAUCCCCGUCCAUUAUAGCCUCCACGACUGCCAAGUGCCAAGCGGCUAGGAACCUUCCCUUCUGGCCUUGGGGUCAAAGCUGCCUCAGAUGGAAGACCCUCACAGGGGGAAUGUGGGGAACUCUCUAGGUGAGGAAAACAGGACGCUGGGAUGAGCCCAGGAAAGGGGACCUCAACAUAGGUCCACACCAUUCAUCCCCCCUGCCCAGUGCCCCCACCUCACCAGGCACAUUCUUCUCUGUGAAGCCCUCAGUGGGGCCUGGCCCAGCCCCUGCCACACUCCCUGGUUGAGCAGGCCCUGCAGAGCCUGAGGUCAGUGGUUGCAGGGCCCCUGGGGCAGAUGGGCCCCCGUGCUUUGAAGGAGACCUCUGGCUGGCUGUGGUUGGGCGGCUAGAUGAGUAGAAAGAACUCAGCGUCUGUGGCUUAUGUGUCUGGCUCUCUCGGUCCAAGAGUUUGUCUAAGAUCUGGAAGACAGAAGCAGUGACCUCCAGAGAAGCAGUGACAGGAUGCCCUUUAGCUCCUGACUUCUAUUACCUUCCUUUCUCCUUGAAACAGCCAAUUGCUACAUCCUCAGGGAGCCUUCCCCACUUACAACCACAGGAUGACCUCCUGGUUUACAUGUCUUUUUGUAACUUAUUUAACCCCAACAUAUCUUGGUAUCCUCCAUUAACACCACAGGGCAGAAUAUACUGAUAGUCAAUAAAUACUGAAAUAAGUGAAUGAA